RNAcentral lists this ribosomal RNA (742 nucleotides) under uncultured bacterium. RNAcentral's name for it is "bacterial SSU rRNA". It matches the Rfam family "Bacterial small subunit ribosomal RNA", at positions 139 to 883 of the family's 1533-position model. The record is from RNAcentral.
GGGGAUAACCUUGCGAAAGUAAGACUAAUACCCAAUGACUCUCUAGAAGACAUCUGAAGGGGAUUAAAGAUUUAUCGGUGAUGGAUGGGGAUGCGUCUGAUUAGCUUGUUGGCGGGGUAACGGCCCACCAAGGCGACGAUCAGUAGGGGUUCUGAGAGGAAGGUCCCCCACAUUGGAACUGAGACACGGUCCAAACUCCUACGGGAGGCAGCAGUGAGGAAUAUUGGUCAAUGGGCGAGAGCCUGAACCAGCCAAGUAGCGUGCAGGAUGACGGCCCUAUGGGUUGUAAACUGCUUUUAUAAGGGAAUAAAGUGAGUCUCGUGAGACUUUUUGCAUGUACCUUAUGAAUAAGGACCGGCUAAUUCCGUGCCAGCAGCCGCGGUAAUACGGAAGGUCCGGGCGUUAUCCGGAUUUAUUGGGUUUAAAGGGAGCGUAGGCCGGAGAUUAAGCGUGUUGUGAAAUGUAGAUGCUCAACAUCUGCACUGCAGCGCGAACUGGUUUCCUUGAGUACGCACAAAGUGGGCGGAAUUCGUGGUGUAGCGGUGAAAUGCUUAGAUAUCACGAAGAACUCCGAUUGCGAAGGCAGCUCACUGGAGCGCAACUGACGCUGAAGCUCGAAAGUGCGGGUAUCGAACAGGAUUAGAUACCCUGGUAGUCCGCACGGUAAACGAUGGAUGCCCGCUGUUGGUCUGAAUAGGUCAGCGGCCAAGCGAAAGCAUUAAGCAUCCCACCUGGGGAGUAC